UACGUAGGGCGCGAGCGUUGUCCGGAAUUACUGGGCGUAAAGCGUGUGUAGGCGGCCUUGCAAGUCGGAUGUGAAAGCCCCGGGCUUAACCCGGGAAGUGCACUCGAAACUGCUUGGCUAGAGUAUCGGAGAGGUUGGUGGAAUUCUCGGUGUAGAGGUGAAAUUCGUAGAUAUCGAGAGGAACACCGGUGGCGAAGGCGGCCAACUGGACGAAUACUGACGCUGAGACACGAAAGCGUGGGGAGCAAACAGG
Molecule: ribosomal RNA, 253 nt
Filed under: uncultured bacterium
Lineage: Bacteria
Description: partial 16S ribosomal RNA
Rfam family: Bacterial small subunit ribosomal RNA
Source: RNAcentral